AGAUAUCGUUGUAUUUAUUAUUUGGAAAAUUCUAAUAAUCGGAACUAAUUACAAGGGCAGUCUUAGACUCUAAGAAUGACAUUGGAAACAAUCACAAAUUUGCACAAGGGUAAUAGGAAAAUGAAUUUAUUGACAACUAUAUUUAGAACCGUGAAGUUAUUUAUCAUCAUCGGUGAAGAAAUGGUUGAUGGCAGGCAUGAUUUCAGGCCGGCGAGUUCGAAGGAACUUCCGGAGGCCAUGCUCAGCAUACUUCUCUCCUUCCUCUUCGUUUUCCAGCACUCCCGCAAGGCGGUGAGCUUUGUUGAUCCUGACUUCUGGGUUCAGGAACAUGUUUCUUGUAAGCUGGAAGACACACAUGCUUGUUACAAAGGUCAUUGCAGCCAACAGUGGGUAGACCUCUGGCCUCAUCCAACGCCCCAUUAGAAAGUAAUAUUGGUAUGUGAAAGAAAUGAUUUGAUUUGCUCCUCCGGAACUUGGAAAGAUAUUGCAACUGUAGGCUGGGGGAAGUGUUA
RNAcentral lists this unclassified non-coding RNA (512 nucleotides) under Hevea brasiliensis (rubber tree). The record is from RNAcentral. Lineage: Eukaryota; Viridiplantae; Streptophyta; Magnoliopsida; Malpighiales; Euphorbiaceae.